GGUGAUGUAGUUGCUCACGAGCUUUGAGAAGUUAGUGAGGUGCUGUAGGUCCUUGUUAGCCUUUGAGAAGUAGUUGCUCAUGCGCCAUUGGAGGUUAGUGAGAAACUCUAGUUGCUCAGGAGUUUGAGAAGUUAGUGAAAUGCUGUAGUUGCUCACAACCCUUCAAAGGUUAGUGAGGAGCUGUAGUUUCUCAUGAGCUUGAGAAGUUAGUUAGGACGUGUAGUUGCUCACAAGCCAUCAAAAGUUAGUGAGGAGGUGUAGUUGCUCAUGCUUGUGUUGCUCUAGUCAUAUCAAGCGCUUUCAGAAGUUAGUGAGAUGCCGUAGUCGUAUCAAGUGGCUUCGGAAGUUAGUGAGAUGCCGUAGUCGUAUCAAGUGGCUUCGGAAGUUAGUGAGAUGCCGUAGUCGUAUCAAGUGGCUUCGGAAGUUAGUGAGAUGCCGUAGUC
This is a long non-coding RNA of Clupea harengus (Atlantic herring), 443 nucleotides long. The record is from Ensembl. NCBI's taxonomy places the organism in Eukaryota, Metazoa, Chordata, Actinopteri, Clupeiformes, Clupeidae.